Myotis davidii is the source of this 81-nucleotide non-coding RNA. The record is from Rfam. Lineage: Eukaryota; Metazoa; Chordata; Mammalia; Chiroptera; Vespertilionidae.
AGGCCCAAAGAGAGAGGCAGGGUCUGAUCCGCAGCCUCCGUGGCAGCUGUUGAUCAGCCAUUGCCUUUCUGUUUCUCACCG